AGAGUUUGAUCCUGGCUCAGAUUGAACGCUGGCGGCAUGCCUUACACAUGCAAGUCGAACGGUAACGCGGGGCAACCUGGCGACGAGUGGCGAACGGGUGAGUAACGCAUCGGAACGUGCCCAGUAGUGGGGGAUAGCCCGGCGAAAGCCGGAUUAAUACCGCAUACGACCUACGGGUGAAAGGGGGGGAUCGCAAGACCUCUCGCUAUUGGAGCGGCCGAUGUCAGAUUAGGUUGUUGGUGGGGUAAAGGCCUACCAAGCCGACGAUCUGUAGCUGGUCUGAGAGGACGACCAGCCACACUGGGACUGAGACACGGCCCAGACUCCUACGGGAGGCAGCAGUGGGGAAUUUUGGACAAUGGGCGCAAGCCUGAUCCAGCCAUGCCGCGUGCGGGAAGAAGGCCUUCGGGUUGUAAACCGCUUUUGUCAGGGAAGAAACGCUCUGAGUUAAUACCUCGGGGUAAUGACGGUACCUGAAGAAUAAGCACCGGCUAACUACGUGCCAGCAGCCGCGGUAAUACGUAGGGUGCAAGCGUUAAUCGGAAUUACUGGGCGUAAAGCGUGCGCAGGCGGUUAUGCAAGACAGAUGUGAAAUCCCCGGGCUCAACCUGGGAACUGCAUUUGUGACUGCAUAGCUAGAGUACGGUAGAGGGGGAUGGAAUUCCGCGUGUAGCAGUGAAAUGCGUAGAUAUGCGGAGGAACACCGAUGGCGAAGGCAAUCCCCUGGACCUGUACUGACGCUCAUGCACGAAAGCGUGGGGAGCAAACAGGAUUAGAUACCCUGGUAGUCCACGCCCUAAACGAUGUCAACUGGUUGUUGGACGGCUUGCUGUUCAGUAACGAAGCUAACGCGUGAAGUUGACCGCCUGGGGAGUACGGCCGCAAGGUUGAAACUCAAAGGGAUUGACGGGGACCCGCACAAGCGGUGGAUGAUGUGGUUUAAUUCGAUGCAACGCGAAAAACCUUACCUACCCUUGACAUGUCUGGAAUCCUAAAGAGAUUUAGGAGUGCUCGAAAGAGAACCAGAACACAGGUGCUGCAUGGCCGUCGUCAGCUCGUGUCGUGAGAUGUUGGGUUAAGUCCCGCAACGAGCGCAACCCUUGUCAUUAGUUGCUACGAAAGGGCACUCUAAUGAGACUGCCGGUGACAAACCGGAGGAAGGUGGGGAUGACGUCAGGUCCUCAUGGCCCUUAUGGGUAGGGCUACACACGUCAUACAAUGGCCGGUACAGAGGGCUGCCAACCCGCGAGGGGGAGCUAAUCCCAGAAAACCGGUCGUAGUCCGGAUCGCAGUCUGCAACUCGACUGCGUGAAGUCGGAAUCGCUAGUAAUCGCGGAUCAGCUUGCCGCGGUGAAUACGUUCCCGGGUCUUGU
RNAcentral lists this ribosomal RNA (1373 nucleotides) under metagenome. RNAcentral describes it as "bacterial SSU rRNA". It matches the Rfam family "Bacterial small subunit ribosomal RNA", at positions 8 to 1384 of the family's 1533-position model. The record is from RNAcentral.